Molecule: ribosomal RNA, 277 nt
Filed under: uncultured Anaeroplasma sp.
Lineage: Bacteria; Bacillati; Mycoplasmatota; Mollicutes; Anaeroplasmatales; Anaeroplasmataceae
Description: partial 16S ribosomal RNA
Rfam family: Bacterial small subunit ribosomal RNA
Source: RNAcentral
GCAGCCGCGGUAAUACGUAGGGAGCGAGCGUUAUCCGGAAUUAUUGGGCGUAAAGGGUGCGUAGAUGGCAAUAUAAGUCUUAUGUAAAAAUGCUGGGCUCAACCCAGUAGGGCAUAAGAUACUGUAUAGCUCGAGUAUUGGAGAGGCAAGUGGAACUCCAUGUGUAGCGGUAAAAUGCGUAAAUAUAUGGAAGAACACCAGUGGCGAAGGCGGCUUGCUAGCCAGAUACUGACAUUGAGGCACGAAAGCGUGGGGAGCAAACAGGAUUAGAUACCCC